GACCGAACGACCAAGAAUGUCCAAUCCGAUUACUUGACUAUUAGGCAUCUAAUCAAAUCAUAUCACAUAUGAGAGAAUUUAGAUCAAAUCUAAAUCAUAUCAGAUCUAAUUUUAAUAUUAUAUCAUAUCUAAAUUAGAUCAAAAAUAUCACAUGUAUCAUAUAAAAUCAGAUUUUAUCAAAGAUCGGUAUAAACUACGAUAACUUUUUCACUGUAAGGGGUAAACCCUAUAGCAGAGCAACCUUAUUUC
RNAcentral lists this long non-coding RNA (249 nucleotides) under Elaeis guineensis (African oil palm). Its description in RNAcentral is "long non-coding RNA (EGUI_LNC070126)". The record is from RNAcentral. Lineage: Eukaryota; Viridiplantae; Streptophyta; Magnoliopsida; Arecales; Arecaceae.